This 877-nucleotide long non-coding RNA is filed under the name Homo sapiens (human). RNAcentral's name for it is "HSALNT0297970". Lineage: Eukaryota; Metazoa; Chordata; Mammalia; Primates; Hominidae. The record is from RNAcentral.
CUUGUUAUAUUUCCUUUUUCAGGGAGAUGAGGGGCUGGUGGUAGAGAUGCAUGGACCACAGCAAGUUAUUGUGCCAUGAUUUUGUCUUUGACGUACUUAUUUCUGAAAUUCAUUAUGACUUGAAAUAUCCUUUUCAUAAAGACUGCAAUAAAGUCCUUUGACAAUAUGGCUAGAUGGAUCAAAGGGCUUAUCUCUGUUGAAUCUUGAGUAGCCACCCAGAUAUCACUGGAGAAGCAACAAUGCAGGCCUGCAGGAGAUCAAGGCUAAGGGCAAGGAGCGGAAGGGAGACACACAAGAUGCUCAAGUCUUUAAAAAUCCCCAUUGGGAGAAUCACGCUACAAAUGGACAAAUCACAUCCUGAAACGGUGGACUCUCUGAAGACCUUACAAAACAGCCUUCAGGCCUGAUCUGUCUCCUUUCCCAGCUUGAACUGUGUUUUCCUAAAGUGGUUUCACUUUCCUCCUUCUCCAAAAGGUGGCAUCAGAAAGGAGGGAGCAGGAAGGCACAGGCCAAACGCUCAUCUCAAUGGCUGCCUCAGCCAUGCUCUGACAAGUGAGCUGAUGGGAAAAUUGCUCCUAAUUAAAUCACUUCAUUAAAAAGAGACCAUUUUCCAAGCGAAUGCACUCCGCAGUUCUCGUGGUGGGUAAUUUGUUGUGUUAAUAAGCUGGAGAGGUUGAAUUCCAAGGUUGCAGCCGCUGACAGCCUGCAGAAAUAGGGACCAUAUUUUGGCAAUGCCCUUGCCCUGUCGAGGGUACCGAGGAAAGCUGACAAAUGGCAGUUCCUUAUAAUAGUUUUGCUCACUGGAGACCUGAGGGGCUGAGAAUGAUGUUUUCUAGUCUGUAGGUUUAGGAUGCCAACAAGAUAAAACAAAUACCCA